CUUGGUCAUUUAGAGGAAGUAAAAGUCGUAACAAGGUUUCCGUAGGUGAACCUGCGGAAGGAUCAUUAGUGAAUUAAACAUGCUUGGUGUCUUCGCUUCGGCAAGGCCCUUGCUUAACUCACAUCCCAACACCUGUGAACUGUAAGGCGCAUGACUAGGUUCGCCCAAGUCAUCGUCUGCCCUUUUUAACAAACAAUUAAUGUAACAAACGUAGUCUUAUUAUAACCUAAUAAAACUUUCAACAACGGAUCUCUUGGCUCUCGCAUCGAUGAAGAACGCAACGAAAUGCGAUAAGUAAUGUGAAUUGCAGAAUUCAGUGAAUCAUCGAAUCUUUGAACGCACCUUGCGCUCUUUGGUAUUCCGAAGAGCAUGCCUGUUUGAGUGUCAUGAAAAUAUCAACCUUGACUUGGGUUUUGUGCUCUAGUCUCGGCUUGGAAAUUGGGUGCUUGCCGCUUUUACGAGCGGCUCACCUUAAAUGUAUUAGCUGGAUCUGUCUUUGAGACUUGGUUUGACUUGGCGUAAUAAGUAUUUCGCUAAGGACAUUCUUCGGAGUGGUCUCGUUUCUAGGACGCUUGUCCGCUUUCCAAUACAAGUUCCACCUCGUGGACAUGACUUUUUAUUAUCUGGCCUCAAAUCAGGUAGGACUACCCGCUGAACUUAAGCAUAUCAAUAAGCGGAGGAAAAGAAACUAACAAGGAUUCCCCUAGUAACGGCGAGUGAAGCGGGAAAAGCUCAAAUUUGAAAUCUGGCAGCCUCAGGUUGUCCGAGUUGUAAUCUAUAGAAACGUUUUCCGCGCUGGCCCAUGUACAAGUCCCUUGGAAUAGGGCGUCAUAGAGGGUGAGAAUCCCGUCCUUGACACGGACCACCAGUGCUUUGUGAUACGUUUUCAACGAGUCGAGUUGUUUGGGAAU
This 911-nucleotide small RNA is filed under the name uncultured Cryptococcus. RNAcentral describes it as "eukaryotic LSU rRNA". The stretch from base 625 to 911 matches the Rfam family "Eukaryotic large subunit ribosomal RNA", at positions 1 to 281 of the family's 3401-position model. Lineage: Eukaryota; Fungi; Basidiomycota; Tremellomycetes. The record is from RNAcentral.